GAAUCACUUUUAACGGCCGCGGUAUCCUAACCGUGCAAAGGUAGCAUAAUCACUUGUCCUCCAAAUAAGGACUAGAAUGAACGGCCAAACGAGGGCCUAACUGUCUCCUAUAGCCCACCAAUAAACCUGAUCUCUCAGUACAAAAGCUGAGAUAAAUACAUUAGACGAGAAGACCCUGUGGAGCUUUAAGCCCUAGUGCCAACACCCACACCACCAUUGACACAGGCUUUUAGUUGGGGCGACUACGGAGCAAAACAAAACCUCCACGACACAACUCCAACCCAGUCCAAGACCCACACGUCAAAAAACACUACGACCCAGUCCAACUGAUCACCGAACCAAGUUACCCCAGGGAUAACAGCGCAAUCCUCCUUAAGAGUCCAUAUCGCCAGGAGGGCUUACGACCUCGAUGUUGGAUCAGGACACCCUGGUGGUGCAGCCGCUACCAAAGG
RNAcentral lists this ribosomal RNA (452 nucleotides) under Tarentola boehmei. RNAcentral's name for it is "partial 16S ribosomal RNA". It matches the Rfam family "Bacterial large subunit ribosomal RNA", at positions 1915 to 2571 of the family's 2925-position model. The record is from RNAcentral. Lineage: Eukaryota; Metazoa; Chordata; Lepidosauria; Squamata; Phyllodactylidae.